CAGUAGCCACGGUAAUACGAAGGGUGCAAGCGUUAAUCGGAAUUACUGGGCGUAAAGCGUGCGUAGGCGGUGAGUUAAGUCUGCUGUGAAAUCCCCGGGCUCAACCUGGGAAUGGCAGUGGAUACUGGCUCGCUAGAGUGUGUCAGAGGAUGGUGGAAUUCCCGGUGUAGCGGUGAAAUGCGUAGAGAUCGGGAGGAACAUCAGUGGCGAAGGCGGCCAUUUGGGACAACACUGACGCUGAGGCACGAAAGCGUGGGGAGCAAACAGGAUUAGAUACCCCCGUAGUCCCUGUCUCUUAUAC
This 301-nucleotide ribosomal RNA is filed under the name uncultured bacterium. RNAcentral describes it as "partial 16S ribosomal RNA". It matches the Rfam family "Bacterial small subunit ribosomal RNA", at positions 509 to 807 of the family's 1533-position model. The record is from RNAcentral.